Molecule: transfer RNA, 82 nt
Filed under: Bacteroidota bacterium
Lineage: Bacteria; Pseudomonadati; Bacteroidota
Also listed under: 2 other names
Description: tRNA-Leu
Rfam family: tRNA
About the family: Transfer RNA (tRNA) molecules are approximately 80 nucleotides in length. Their secondary structure includes four short double-helical elements and three loops (D, anti-codon, and T loops).
Source: RNAcentral
GCGGCAUUGGCGUAAUUGGUAGCCGCGCUAGACUUAGGAUCUAGUGACGAAAGUCGUGUAGGUUCGAGUCCUACAUGCCGCA